This 282-nucleotide long non-coding RNA is filed under the name Gallus gallus (chicken). RNAcentral describes it as "lncRNA (ENSGALG00010006813.1)". The record is from RNAcentral. Lineage: Eukaryota; Metazoa; Chordata; Aves; Galliformes; Phasianidae.
CGAAAACAACGAAAACAACGGAAACAACGGAAAAUUAAUAACAACGUCAAUAAAGGAAAUAAUAACAGAAAUAACGGAAAUAAUAACAGAAAUAACGGAAAAAAUAACGGAAGCAACCUCCACAGACACAGAAACAUAAGGCAGAAAAUUAGGUGACAGGUCAAGAACAACAACGGACACAACGUAAACAACCUCCACAGAGACAGAAACAUAAGACAGAAAAUUAGGUGACUGGUCAAGAACAACAACGGAAACAACGGAAACAACGGAAACAACGGAAAC